GCGCCCGUAGCUCAGCUGGAUAGAGUAUCGGAUUCCGGUUCCGAGGGUCGGAGGUUCGAAUCCUCUCGGGCGUACCA
RNAcentral lists this transfer RNA (77 nucleotides) under Candidatus Nitromaritima sp. SCGC AAA799-A02. RNAcentral's name for it is "Nitrospina sp. SCGC_AAA799_A02 tRNA-Arg". It matches the Rfam family "tRNA". From Rfam's summary of the family: Transfer RNA (tRNA) molecules are approximately 80 nucleotides in length. Their secondary structure includes four short double-helical elements and three loops (D, anti-codon, and T loops). Further hydrogen bonds mediate the characteristic L-shaped molecular structure. tRNAs have two regions of fundamental functional importance: the anti-codon, which is responsible for specific mRNA codon recognition, and the 3' end, to which the tRNAs corresponding amino acid is attached (by aminoacyl-tRNA synthetases). tRNAs cope with the degeneracy of the genetic code in two manners: having more than one tRNA (with a specific anti-codon) for a particular amino acid; and 'wobble' base-pairing, i.e. permitting non-standard base-pairing at the 3rd anti-codon position. The record is from RNAcentral. RNAcentral also lists the same sequence under 1 other name. Lineage: Bacteria; Pseudomonadati; Nitrospinota; Nitrospinia; Nitrospinales; Nitrospinaceae.